AGCGGCGUAAGGGGCAGUAAUACCUGGGAACGUACCCUGAGGUCGGGGAUAGCUGCUAGAAAUGGCGAGUAAUACCCGAUGAUCUCGAGAGAGCAAAGGCUUGCCGCCUUCGGAGCGGCCCAGGCGAUAUUAGCUAGAUGGUGAGGUAAUGGCUUACCAAGGCUUAGAUGUCUAGCGGGUGUGAGAGCACGACCCGCGCCACUGGCACUGAGACACUGGCCAGACACCUACGGGUGGCUGCAGUCGAGAAUCUUCGGCAAUGAGCGCAAGCUUGACCGAGCGACGCCGCGUGCGGGAUGAAGGCCUUCGGGUUGUAAACCGCUUUGGUCCGAGAGAAAGGGAAACUUGACCGAUCGGAGAAACAAGGACGGGCUAAGUUCGUGCCAGCAGCCGCGGUAAGACAAACCGUCCAAACGUUAUUCGGAAUCACUGGGCUUAAAGGGCGCGUAGGCGGCCGAGCGGGUCGCGGGUGAAAUCCCCCAGCUUAACUGGGGAACUGCCCUCGAUACCACUGCGGCUCGAGGAAGGAAGGGGCAAUCGGAACUGUCGGUGGAGCGGUGAAAUGCGUUGAUAUCGACAGGAACGCCGGUGGCGAAAGCGGAUUGCUGGUCCUUUUCUGACGCUGAGGCGCGAAAGCCAGGGGAGCAAACGGGAUUAGAUACCCCGGUAGUCCUGGCCUUAAACGAUGAGAACUAGGUAG
This 700-nucleotide ribosomal RNA is filed under the name uncultured bacterium. RNAcentral describes it as "bacterial SSU rRNA". It matches the Rfam family "Bacterial small subunit ribosomal RNA", at positions 94 to 823 of the family's 1533-position model. The record is from RNAcentral.